Mauremys mutica (yellowpond turtle) is the source of this 362-nucleotide long non-coding RNA. RefSeq lists it as uncharacterized. The record is from RefSeq and is a predicted model, not a curated record. NCBI's taxonomy places the organism in Eukaryota, Metazoa, Chordata, Testudines, Geoemydidae. The transcript is spliced from 3 exons.
GGGGGAGCGGUCAGAGACACUCUCCCACGGGGGAAGCCUGAGAGGGGAGGCGACAAACCAGACCCCCGCCCCACCCCCGGCGCGCGGCCAAGCAGCCUCUUCCCCGCGGUGUCUCUCUGCCUUUACUCAGGUGAGCAGCUCCAUUGGCUUCACUAGGACUACUCACACAAAUAAGGAUUGAAGAUGCAAGUCCAUACUCUGUACCCUGGUAUGGAGAGAAGACAAGGUUGGCCUCACAAAACCUGAAAAAACUUCCAUAACUCAAUUUUAAAUAUUAUAAUUGUAAUUUUUAUGAAUGCAUUCCUUAAGGACUAUAUAGUGCAAGAUACUUAACAGAACAACAAUUUUGAAAAUUAAAAAUA